RNAcentral lists this unclassified non-coding RNA (390 nucleotides) under Hevea brasiliensis (rubber tree). Lineage: Eukaryota; Viridiplantae; Streptophyta; Magnoliopsida; Malpighiales; Euphorbiaceae. The record is from RNAcentral.
AUUGAUCAAUGUCGCUUGUCCCCUAUAUCAAUUCAAAUCAAAAUGUUACAAGUACUAAACAUGGACACCACAUAUAAAUAGCACAAGAAGAAACAAAAUAAGCGGGUAGAAUGUAACUGUGACAUAUCCCACUUAAGUCAUAGAUAUUAAAGUAAUUUGCCUGAUAAGAUGGCCUUUAAAUAAAAAAGGAUUGUCCUGUGGACCAGUGAUCAAAUAUUAAUAUGCAAAAUUAUCAACCAGAUAAGAACAUCUUUUACAAAAAGGAAUGUGCAAAUGAUGAGAAAUAUUUACUAGCCCCCCAAACAUAAUAUCUUUUUGUAGCACCAGUUAUACUAAAAUAUGUAAGGUAAGCAAAAUCAAGAACAUCACCUUUAUAUUGUUCAACAAGAA